Molecule: ribosomal RNA, 513 nt
Filed under: uncultured bacterium
Lineage: Bacteria
Description: bacterial SSU rRNA
Rfam family: Bacterial small subunit ribosomal RNA
Source: RNAcentral
AGUUUGAUCCUGGCUCAGGAUGAACGCUAGCGGCAGGCUUAACACAUGCAAGUCGAGGGGCAGCGCGAGUAGCAAUACUUGGCGGCGACCGGCGCAAGGGUGCGUAACGCGUGAGCAACAUGCCCGUAUCAGGGGGAUAAUCCAGGGAAACUUGGUCUAAUACCCCAUAGUAAUUUUGUAAGGCAUCUUAUAAGAUUUAAAGCUUUGGUGGAUACGGAUUGGCUCGCGUGACAUUAGCUGGAUGGUAAGGUAACGGCUUACCAUGGCUAUGAUGUCUAGGGGUUCUGAGAGGAAGGUCCCCCACACUGGAACUGAGACACGGUCCAGACUCCUACGGGAGGCAGCAGUGAGGAAUAUUGGGCAAUGGAUGGAAAUCUGAUCCAGCCAUGCCGCGUGAAGGAAGAAGGUCCUAUGGAUUGUAAACUUCUUUUGUAUGGGAGCAAUAAGGCCUACGAGUAGGUUGAUGAGAGUACCAUACGAAUAAGCACCGGCUAACUCCGUGCCAGCCGCCGC